AGAGUUUGAUCAUGGCUCAGGAUGAACGCUGGCUGUGUGCCUAAUACAUGCAUGUCGAGCGAAGCACUUCGGUGCUUAGCGGCGAAUGGGUGAGUAACACGUACUUAACCUACCCCCAAGAUUGGGACAACACCUGGAAACGGGUGCUAAUACCAAAUACGUAUUUUUAUCGCAUGAUAGAAAUAUAAAAGGAGCUUCGGCUUCACUAGGGGAUGGAAGUGCGCUACAUUAGUUAGUUGGUAGGGUAAUGGCCUACCAAGACGAUGAUGUAUAGCGGGGCCGAGAGGCUGAUCCGCCACACUGGGACUGAGAUACGGCCCAGACUCCUACGGGAGGCAGCAGUAGGGAAUUUUCCACAAUGAACGAAAGUUUGAUGGAGCGACACAGCGUGCAGGAUGAAGGUCUUCGGAUCGUAAACUGCUGUUAUAAGGGAAGAAAAACUUUAGUAGGUAAUGACUAGAACUUGACGGUACCUUAUCAGAAAGCGACGGCUAACUAUGUGCCAGCAGCCGCGGUAAU
This 519-nucleotide ribosomal RNA is filed under the name uncultured bacterium. Its description in RNAcentral is "bacterial SSU rRNA". It matches the Rfam family "Bacterial small subunit ribosomal RNA", at positions 8 to 524 of the family's 1533-position model. The record is from RNAcentral.